UGCAAGUCGAACGCUGAAGCCUGGUGCUUGCACCGGGUGGAUGAGUGGCGAACGGGUGAGUAACACGUGAGUAACCUGCCCCUGACUUCGGGAUAAGCCCGGGAAACUGGGUCUAAUACCGGAUACGACCGCCGGACGCAUGUCUGGUGGUGGAAAGUUUUUUCGGUUGGGGAUGGGCUCGCGGCCUAUCAGUUUGUUGGUGAGGUAAUGGCUCACCAAGACGACGACGGGUAGCCGGCCUGAGAGGGCGACCGGCCACACUGGGACUGAGACACGGCCCAGACUCCUACGGGAGGCAGCAGUGGGGAAUAUUGCACAAUGGGGGAAACCCUGAUGCAGCGACGCAGCGUGCGGGAUGACGGCCUUCGGGUUGUAAACCGCUUUCAGCAGGGAAGAAGCGCAAGUGACGGUACCUGCAGAAGAAGUACCGGCUAACUACGUGCCAGCAGCCGCGGUAAUACGUAGGGUACGAGCGUUGUCCGGAAUUAUUGGGCGUAAAGAGCUCGUAGGUGGUUGGUCACGUCUGCUGUGGAAACGCAACGCUUAACGUUGCGCGUGCAGUGGGUACGGGCUGACUAGAGUGCAGUAGGGGAGUCUGGAAUUCCUGGUGUAGCGGUGAAAUGCGCAGAUAUCAGGAGGAACACCGGUGGCGAAGGCGGGACUCUGGGCUGUAACUGACACUGAGGAGCGAAAGCAUGGGGAGCGAACAGGAUUAGAUACCCUGGUAGUCCAUGCCGUAAACGUUGGGCACUAGGUGUGGGGGGCAUUCCACGUUCUCCGCGCCGUAGCUAACGCAUUAAGUGCCCCGCCUGGGGAGUACGGUCGCAAGGCUAAAACUCAAAGGAAUUGACGGGGGCCCGCACAAGCGGCGGAGCAUGCGGAUUAAUUCGAUGCAACGCGAAGAACCUUACCAAGGCUUGACAUACACCGGACCGUCCUGGAAACAGGUCCUCUUCUUUGAAGCUGGUGUACAGGUGGUGCAUGGUUGUCGUCAGCUCGUGUCGUGAGAUGUUGGGUUAAGUCCCGCAACGAGCGCAACCCUCGUUCUAUGUUGCCAGCACGUGAUGGUGGGAACUCAUAGGAGACUGCCGGGGUCAACUCGGAGGAAGGUGGGGAUGACGUCAAAUCAUCAUGCCCUUUAUGUCUUGGGCUUCACGCAUGCUACAAUGGCUGGUACAGAGAGAGGCGAACCCGUGAGGGCAAGCGAAUCCCUUAAAGCCAGUCUCAGUUCGGAUCGUAGUCUGCAAUUCGACUACGUGAAGUCGGAGUCGCUAGUAAUCGCAGAUCAGCAA
RNAcentral lists this ribosomal RNA (1292 nucleotides) under Brevibacterium sp. TPBLGL 31. RNAcentral's name for it is "bacterial SSU rRNA". It matches the Rfam family "Bacterial small subunit ribosomal RNA", at positions 56 to 1355 of the family's 1533-position model. The record is from RNAcentral. Lineage: Bacteria; Bacillati; Actinomycetota; Actinomycetes; Micrococcales; Brevibacteriaceae.